UACGUAGGUGGCGAGCGUUGUCCGGAAUUACUGGGUGUAAAGGGAGCGUAGGCGGGAGAGCAAGUCGACUGUGAAAUCUAUGGGCUUAACCCAUAGCUGCGAUCGAAACUGCUCAUCUUGAGUGAAGUAGAGGCAGGCGGAAUUCCUAGUGUAGCGGUGAAAUGCGUAAAUAUUAGGAGGAACACCAGUGGCGAAGGCGGCCUGCUGGGCUUUAACUGACGCUGAGGCUCGAAAGCGUGGGUAGCAAACAGG
This 252-nucleotide ribosomal RNA is filed under the name uncultured bacterium. RNAcentral describes it as "partial 16S ribosomal RNA". It matches the Rfam family "Bacterial small subunit ribosomal RNA", at positions 524 to 776 of the family's 1533-position model. The record is from RNAcentral.